RNAcentral lists this ribosomal RNA (226 nucleotides) under uncultured Sphingomonas sp. RNAcentral's name for it is "partial 16S ribosomal RNA". It matches the Rfam family "Bacterial small subunit ribosomal RNA", at positions 1157 to 1382 of the family's 1533-position model. The record is from RNAcentral. Lineage: Bacteria; Pseudomonadati; Pseudomonadota; Alphaproteobacteria; Sphingomonadales; Sphingomonadaceae.
GAUAAGCCGGAGGAAGGUGGGGAUGACGUCAAGUCCUCAUGGCCCUUACGCGCUGGGCUACACACGUGCUACAAUGGCAAGUACAGUGGGCAGCAAUCCCGCGAGGGUGAGCUAAUCUACCAAACUUGUCUCAGUUCGGAUUGUUCUCUGCAACUCGAGAGCAUGAAGGCGGAAUCGCUAGUAAUCGCGGAUCAGCAUGCCGCGGUGAAUACGUUCCCGAGGCCUU